AUAGCGUAUAUUAAAGUUGUUGCAGUUAAAAAGCUCGUAGUUGAACUUCAGACCUGGCUGGGCGGUCCGCUUAACGGCGUGUACUGUCUGGCUGGGCCUUACCUCUUGGUGAGCCGGCGUGCCCUUUAUUGGUGUGCGUCGGGGAACCAGGACUUUUACCUUGAGAAAAUUAGAGUGUUCAAAGCAGGCCUAUGCCCGAAUACAUUAGCAUGGAAUAAUAAAAUAGGACGUGCGGUUCUAUUUUGUUGGUUUCUAGAGUCGCCGUAAUGAUUAAUAGGGAUAGUUGGGGGCAUUGGUAUUGAGUCGCUAGAGGUGAAAUUCUUGGAUUGACUCAAGACCAACUAUUG
This 347-nucleotide ribosomal RNA is filed under the name uncultured eukaryote. Its description in RNAcentral is "SSU rRNA". It matches the Rfam family "Eukaryotic small subunit ribosomal RNA", at positions 594 to 945 of the family's 1831-position model. The record is from RNAcentral.